RNAcentral lists this ribosomal RNA (322 nucleotides) under uncultured bacterium. Its description in RNAcentral is "bacterial SSU rRNA". It matches the Rfam family "Bacterial small subunit ribosomal RNA", at positions 30 to 350 of the family's 1533-position model. The record is from RNAcentral.
AUUGAACGCUGGCGGCAUGCCUUACACAUGCAAGUCGAACGGCAGCACGGGAGCAAUCCUGGUGGCGAGUGGCGAACGGGUGAGUAAUAUAUCGGAACGUGCCCAGUCUGGGGGAUAACGGUAGCGAAAGCUACGCUAAUACCGCAUACGAUCUAUGGAUGAAAGCGGGGGAUCGCAAGACCUCGACGCGAUUGGAGCGGCCGAUAUCAGAUUAGGUAGUUGGUGAGGUAAAGGCUCGCCAAGCCGACGAUCUGUAGCUGGUCUGAGAGGACGACCAGGCCACACUGGGACUGAGACACGGCCCAGACUCCUACGGGAGGCA